AGCAGCGAGCUGCAAUGGUAAGCGAGAAGUGCUAGGAGAGCCUAACGGGCAGGAACAGCUGAUGCAAUGGAGCAUCGCAAAGAAUAAGGAAGACGAGAACAGCUGGCACCACCUGGUAUGAAUCUGAGCCUGCACCGCAAACAGAGUCUGGAGCAAGCUGUUUGGUACGCAGCCAUCUCCUUGGCUUUCUUGGCAUGGGAGCCAGGAAGAAAAUGACUUUGCUGCUGGCGGCUCCGAGGAGCUCCCUGGGUUUGGCUGCUUUGCCAGGAGGAGGGGUUGCUUCCAGCUGGUCCAGAGCGCUUUUUCUUGUACAUAUAACAACCUUCAGUCAAAUAUGGGCUAACCCAAAGCCCCCUGAAAUAACGAGAAAGGCAUUUAUCUAGGCCUUUCUCUUACUGGGGAAACAGCAGCAUUGUGGACUGGAGACCUUUCUGCAGGACGCUGCGAAAACCAUGUUCAGUACCUGCACUUUGUCAUGGAAAAAAAUG
Molecule: long non-coding RNA, 488 nt
Organism: Chroicocephalus ridibundus (black-headed gull)
Lineage: Eukaryota; Metazoa; Chordata; Aves; Charadriiformes; Laridae
Exons: 3
Source: RefSeq, a predicted model, not a curated record